AACGAACGCUGGCGGCAUGCCUAACACAUGCAAGUCGAACGAGACCUUCGGGUCUAGUGGCGCACGGGUGCGUAACGCGUGGGAACCUGCCCUUAGGUUCGGAAUAACUCCCCGAAAGGGGUGCUAAUACCGGAUAAUGUCUUCGGACCAAAGAUUUAUCGCCUUUGGAUGGGCCCGCGUUGGAUUAGCUAGUUGGUAGGGUAAAAGCCUACCAAGGCGACGAUCCAUAGCUGGUCUGAGAGGAUGAUCAGCCACACUGGGACUGAGACACGGCCCAGACUCCUACGGGAGGCAGCAGUGGGGAAUAUUGGACAAUGGGCGAAAGCCUGAUCCAGCAAUGCCGCGUGAGUGAUGAAGGCCUUAGGGUUGUAAAGCUCUUUUAACCGGGAAGAUAAUGACAGUACCGGGAGAAUAAGCUCCGGCUAACUCCGUG
RNAcentral lists this ribosomal RNA (433 nucleotides) under uncultured bacterium. RNAcentral's name for it is "partial 16S ribosomal RNA". It matches the Rfam family "Bacterial small subunit ribosomal RNA", at positions 29 to 507 of the family's 1533-position model. The record is from RNAcentral.